This 521-nucleotide ribosomal RNA is filed under the name Pseudomonas fluorescens. Its description in RNAcentral is "bacterial SSU rRNA". It matches the Rfam family "Bacterial small subunit ribosomal RNA", at positions 56 to 572 of the family's 1533-position model. The record is from RNAcentral. Lineage: Bacteria; Pseudomonadati; Pseudomonadota; Gammaproteobacteria; Pseudomonadales; Pseudomonadaceae.
UGCAAGUCGAGCGGUAGAGAGAAGCUUGCUUCUCUUGAGAGCGGCGGACGGGUGAGUAAUGCCUAGGAAUCUGCCUGGUAGUGGGGGAUAACGUUCGGAAACGGACGCUAAUACCGCAUACGUCCUACGGGAGAAAGCAGGGGACCUUCGGGCCUUGCGCUAUCAGAUGAGCCUAGGUCGGAUUAGCUAGUUGGUGAGGUAAUGGCUCACCAAGGCGACGAUCCGUAACUGGUCUGAGAGGAUGAUCAGUCACACUGGAACUGAGACACGGUCCAGACUCCUACGGGAGGCAGCAGUGGGGAAUAUUGGACAAUGGGCGAAAGCCUGAUCCAGCCAUGCCGCGUGUGUGAAGAAGGUCUUCGGAUUGUAAAGCACUUUAAGUUGGGAGGAAGGGUUGUAGAUUAAUACUCUGCAAUUUUGACGUUACCGACAGAAUAAGCACCGGCUAACUCUGUGCCAGCAGCCGCGGUAAUACAGAGGGUGCAAGCGUUAAUCGGAAUUACUGGGCGUAAAGCGCGCGU